AUGGCCCCCAAGGCGGAGAAGAAGCCGGUGGCGGAGAAGGCCGAGAAGACGACGGCGGCGAAGAAGACCAAGGCCGAGAAGCGGCCGCCGGCGUCCAAGGAGGGCGGCGAGAAGAAGGGGAAGAAGAAGGCCAAGAAGAGCGUGGAGACGUACAAGAUCUACAUCUUCAAGGUGCUGAAGCAGGUGCACCCGGACAUCGGCAUCUCCUCCAAGGCCAUGUCCAUCAUGAACUCCUUCAUCAACGACAUCUUCGAGAAGCUGGCCGGCGAGUCGGCCAAGCUCGCCCGCUACAACAAGAAGCCCACCAUCACGUCCAGGGAAAUCCAGACCUCUGUCCGCCUCGUCCUCCCCGGCGAGCUCGCCAAGCACGCCGUCUCCGAGGGAACCAAGGCCGUCACUAAGUUCACCUCCGCUUAG
RNAcentral lists this ribosomal RNA (417 nucleotides) under Triticum aestivum (bread wheat). RNAcentral's name for it is "partial small subunit ribosomal RNA". Lineage: Eukaryota; Viridiplantae; Streptophyta; Magnoliopsida; Poales; Poaceae. The record is from RNAcentral.